CACGUAGGGGGCAAGCGUUGUCCGGAUUUAUUGGGCGUAAAGAGCUCGUAGGCGGCUCAGUUAGUCGGGUGUGAAACCCCCGGGCUCAACCCGGGGACGCCACCCGAUACUGCUGUGGCUAGAGUCCGGUAGGGGAGCGUGGAAUUCCUGGUGUAGCGGUGAAAUGCGUAGAUAUCGGGAGGAACACCAGUGGCGAAGGCGACUACCUGGCCUGUUCUUGACGCUGAGGCGCGAAAGCUAGGGGAGCAAACGGG
RNAcentral lists this ribosomal RNA (254 nucleotides) under uncultured bacterium. RNAcentral describes it as "partial 16S ribosomal RNA". It matches the Rfam family "Bacterial small subunit ribosomal RNA", at positions 524 to 776 of the family's 1533-position model. The record is from RNAcentral.